UACGUAGGUGGCAAGCGUUGUCCGGAGUUAUUGGGCGUAAAGCGCGCGCAGGCGGUCCUUUAAGUCUGAUGUGAACGCCCACGGCUCAACCGUGGAGGGUCAUUGGAAACUGGGGGACUUGAGUGCAGAAGAGAAGAGUGGAAUUCCACGUGUAGCGGUGAAAUGCGUAGAGAUGUGGAGGAACACCAGUGGCGAAGGCGACUCUUUGGUCUGUAACUGACGCUGAGGCGCGAAAGCGUGGGGAGCAAACAGG
RNAcentral lists this ribosomal RNA (253 nucleotides) under uncultured bacterium. RNAcentral describes it as "partial 16S ribosomal RNA". It matches the Rfam family "Bacterial small subunit ribosomal RNA", at positions 524 to 776 of the family's 1533-position model. The record is from RNAcentral.